AUUGAACGCUGGCGGCAGGCCUAACACAUGCAAGUCGAACGAGUGGCGGACGGGUUAGUAAUGUCUGUGACACUGCCCGAUGGAGGGGGAUCCCUACUGGCAACGGUAGCUACUACCGCCUACCAUCGGCUGUGCCCAGAUGGGAUUAGCUAGUAGGUGGGGUAACGGCUCACCUGGGCGACGAUCCCUAGCUGGUCUGAGAGGAUGACGAGCCACACUGGAACUGAGACACGGUCCAGACUCCGACGGGAGGCAGCAGUGGGGAAUAUUGCACAAUGGGCGAAAGCCGGAUGCAGCCAUGCCGCGUGUAUGAAGAAGGCCUUCGGGUUUUAAAGUACUUUCAGCGGGGAGGCGUUACCCGCAGAAGAAGCACCGGCUAACUACGUGCCAGCAGCCGCGGUAAUAC
RNAcentral lists this ribosomal RNA (406 nucleotides) under uncultured bacterium. RNAcentral describes it as "partial 16S ribosomal RNA". It matches the Rfam family "Bacterial small subunit ribosomal RNA", at positions 30 to 526 of the family's 1533-position model. The record is from RNAcentral.